GAUCAUGGCUCAGGAUGAACGCUGGCGGCGUGCCUAACACAUGCAAGUCGAGCGAAGCACUUUGCUUAGAUUCUUCGGAUGAAGAGGAUUGUGACUGAGCGGGCGGACGGGUGAGUAACGCGUGGGUAACCUGCCUCAUACAGGGGGGAUAACAGUUAGAAAUGACUGCUAAUACCGCAUAAGACCACAGCACCGCAUGGUGCGGGGGGUAAAAACUCCGGUGGUAUGAGAUGGACCCG
Molecule: ribosomal RNA, 239 nt
Filed under: uncultured bacterium
Lineage: Bacteria
Description: partial 16S ribosomal RNA
Rfam family: Bacterial small subunit ribosomal RNA
Source: RNAcentral